GACGAACGCUGGCGGCGUGCUUAACACAUGCAAGUCGAACGAUGAAGAAAAGAAUCGAAGCUUCGGCAGAAAUUCAUUUCGGAUUAGUGGCAGACGGGUGAGUAACGCGUGAGCAACCUACCUCUUACAAAGGGAUGGCCUCGGGAAACCUGGAUUAAUACCAUAUAACAUUGCGACGAAGCAUUUCGAUUCAAUCAAAGCUAUGGCGGGAAGCGAUGGGCUCGCGUCCCAUUAACAGGAUGGUGAGGUAACGGGUCACCAUAGUGACGAUGGGUAAACGGGCAGAGAGGGUGAACGGUCACACCGGAACUGAGACACGGUCGAGAAUCCUACGGGAUGCAGGAGUGGGGAACAUUGCAAAAUGGAGGGAACGCUGAUGCAGCGACGCCGCGUGAGUGAUGAAGGUAUUCGUUAAGUAAAACUCCGUUCUAUGGGAAGAAAAGGACGGUACCAUAGGAGAAAGCCCCGGCUAAAUACGUG
RNAcentral lists this ribosomal RNA (480 nucleotides) under uncultured bacterium. RNAcentral describes it as "partial 16S ribosomal RNA". It matches the Rfam family "Bacterial small subunit ribosomal RNA", at positions 28 to 507 of the family's 1533-position model. The record is from RNAcentral.